GAAUAUUGGACAAUGGGCGCAAGCCUGAUCCAGCCAUGCCGCGUGAGUGAUGAAGGCCCUAGGGUUGUAAAGCCCUUUUGUCCGGGACGAUAAUGACGGUACCGGAAGAAUAAGCCCCGGCUAACUUCGUGCCAGCAGCCGCGGUAAUACGAAGGGGGCUAGCGUUGCUCGGAAUCACUGGGCGUAAAGGGCGCGUAGGCGGACGUUUAAGUCAGGGGUGAAAUCCCGGGGCUCAACCUCGGAAUUGCCUUUGAUACUGGAUGUCUCGAGACCGGAAGAGGUAAGUGGAACUGCGAGUGUAGAGGUGAAAUUCGUAGAUAUUCGCAAGAACACCAGUGGCGAAGGCGGCUUACUGGUCCGGUUCUGACGCUGAGGCGCGAAAGCGUGGGGAGCAAACAG
RNAcentral lists this ribosomal RNA (399 nucleotides) under uncultured bacterium. RNAcentral describes it as "bacterial SSU rRNA". It matches the Rfam family "Bacterial small subunit ribosomal RNA", at positions 359 to 775 of the family's 1533-position model. The record is from RNAcentral.